RNAcentral lists this microRNA precursor (61 nucleotides) under Pristionchus pacificus. Its description in RNAcentral is "mir-8364 microRNA precursor family". It matches the Rfam family "mir-8364 microRNA precursor family". The record is from Rfam by way of RNAcentral. Lineage: Eukaryota; Metazoa; Nematoda; Chromadorea; Rhabditida; Neodiplogasteridae.
UCUUCAUUCCACGUGCUCUCUCACCGGUCAGAAUGGCGAGAGAGUGUGCAAAAUGAAGAGA